Long non-coding RNA from Tyto alba (common barn owl), 220 nucleotides. RefSeq lists it as uncharacterized. The transcript has 3 exons. The record is from RefSeq and is a predicted model, not a curated record. Lineage: Eukaryota; Metazoa; Chordata; Aves; Strigiformes; Tytonidae.
UUGUGUCCCACUCGGAGGAGAUAGUGUCUGUUUAAAGCUGGACUUGGCUUCAGGAGGACAUACAGAGAAAGUAAUAUGAAAGACUGCAAGUGGAUCAAUUAAAUUCCUGGAGUGAAAUUCUUCUGGCUUUUUGAUCAACAUGUUUACUGCAAUGGAUGAACAGUCCCUUCUGGAUGCCUUCUCAUGGAUCACACAGGGAGUCUGGACUACGGACCUUUUA